This 253-nucleotide ribosomal RNA is filed under the name uncultured bacterium. RNAcentral describes it as "partial 16S ribosomal RNA". It matches the Rfam family "Bacterial small subunit ribosomal RNA", at positions 524 to 776 of the family's 1533-position model. The record is from RNAcentral.
UACAGAGGGUGCAAGCGUUGUUCGGAAUUACUGGGCGUAAAGCGCACGUAGGUGGCGACGUAAGUCGGGUGUGAAAGCCCCGGGCUCAACCUGGGAAUUGCAUUCGAGACUGCAUUGCUGGAGUACGGAAGAGGAAGGCGGAAUUCCCGGUGUAGCGGUGAAAUGCGUAGAUAUCGGGAGGAACAUCAGUGGCGAAGGCGGCCUUCUGGUCCAGUACUGACGCUCAAGUGCGAAAGCGUGGGGAGCAAACAGG